GAAGGAUCAUUAUCGUACAAUGGAGGUGCUGGGGCUGUCGCUGACCUUUGAAAAAGGUUGUGCACGCCCGGAGCACUCUCUCAUAUCCAUCUCACCCCUUUGUGCAUUGCCGCGUGGGUCCCCUUUUGGCUUGUUCCGAGGGGGACCUGCGUUUUUACAUAGACACCCUUUGAAUGCAUGUGUAGAAUGUCUUACUUUUUGCGAUCACACGCAAUCAAUACAACUUUCAACAACGGAUCUCUUGGCUCUCGCAUCGAUGAAGAACGCAGCGAAAUGCGAUACGUAAUGUGAAUUGCAGAAUUCAGUGAAUCAUCGAAUCUUUGAACGCACCUUGCGCCCCUUGGUAUUCCGAGGGGCACACCCGUUUGAGUGUCGUGUAUACUCUCAACCUUCUUGGUUUCUUUGACCAGGAAGGCUUGGACUUUGGAGGUUUUUCUUGCUGGCCUCUUUCGAAGCCAGCUCCUCCUAAAUGAAUGGGUGGGGUCCGCUUUGCUGAUCCUCGACGUGAUAAGCAUUUCUUCUACGUCUCAGUGUCAGCUCGGAACCCGCUUUCAAACCGUCUUUGGACAAAGACAAUGUUCGAGUUGUGACUCGACCUUACAAACCUUGACCUCAAAUCGGGUGAGACUACCCGCUGAACUU
Molecule: ribosomal RNA, 642 nt
Filed under: uncultured Russula
Lineage: Eukaryota; Fungi; Basidiomycota; Agaricomycetes; Russulales; Russulaceae
Description: eukaryotic LSU rRNA
Rfam family: 5.8S ribosomal RNA (bases 222-375)
Source: RNAcentral